Long non-coding RNA from Stegodyphus dumicola, 315 nucleotides. The record is from RefSeq and is a predicted model, not a curated record. Lineage: Eukaryota; Metazoa; Arthropoda; Arachnida; Araneae; Eresidae.
AAAUUAACUGUUUGUUUAUUAUUGUUUUUCAGGUGUGUUAAUUGGUGCGAAGAUGGAUUUAAAGGAGAGAAGAGUAAUUAAAUCAACUGUCGCUCAAGAUUUUGCAAGGAAAAACAACCUUCAGUACUUUGAAUGUUCUGCGAAAGAAAAUUCUGGUGUGGAAGAACCUUUUUUCUACCUUGUCAACGAGUGGCACAGGAUGUAUUUAGAAAAAACUGAAUUCUUUAAAACUGUUUCCUGAAAUUUUCUAUUUGAUGCAAUAAUUCAUAUUUUAUGUACAGCGUUUGUUGUGUAAUAAAAAUUGUAACUUAAAAA